Molecule: ribosomal RNA, 835 nt
Filed under: Tangerinosporium thalictricola
Lineage: Eukaryota; Fungi; Ascomycota; Sordariomycetes; Hypocreales; Stachybotryaceae
Description: LSU rRNA
Rfam family: Eukaryotic large subunit ribosomal RNA
Source: RNAcentral
AGGGAUUGCCUCAGUAAACGGCGAGUGAAGCGGCAACAGCUCAAAUUUGAAAUCUGGCCCCAGGCCCGAGUUGUAAUUUGCAGAGGAUGCUUUUGGUGAGGUGCCUUCCGAGUUCCCUGGAACGGGACGCCAUAGAGGGUGAGAGCCCCGUCUGGUCGGACACCGAGCCUCUGUAAAGCUCCUUCGACGAGUCGAGUAGUUUGGGAAUGCUGCUCUAAAUGGGAGGUAUAUGUCUUCUAAAGCUAAAUAUUGGCCAGAGACCGAUAGCGCACAAGUAGAGUGAUCGAAAGAUGAAAAGCACUUUGAAAAGAGAGUUAAAUAGCACGUGAAAUUGUUGAAAGGGAAGCGUUUAUGACCAGACUUGGCCCGGUUGAUCAUCCAGCGUUCUCGCUGGUGCACUCUGCCGGUCCAGGCCAGCAUCAGUUCGUCGCGGGGGAUAAAGGUUUCGGGAAUGUGGCUCCCUCGGGAGUGUUAUAGCCCGUUGCGUAAUACCCUGCGGUGGACUGAGGUUCGCGCAUUCGCAAGGAUGCUGGCGUAAUGGUCAUCAACGACCCGUCUUGAAACACGGACCAAGGAGUCGUCUUCGUAUGCGAGUGUUCGGGUGUAAAACCCCUACGCGUAAUGAAAGUGAACGCAGGUGAGAGCUUCGGCGCAUCAUCGACCGAUCCUGAUGUUCUCGGAUGGAUUUGAGUAAGAGCAUACGGGGCCGGACCCGAAAGAAGGUGAACUAUGCCUGUAUAGGGUGAAGCCAGAGGAAACUCUGGUGGAGGCUCGCAGCGGUUCUGACGUGCAAAUCGAUCGUCAAAUAUGGGCAUGGGGGCGAAAGACUAAUCGA